RNAcentral lists this unclassified non-coding RNA (400 nucleotides) under uncultured bacterium. RNAcentral's name for it is "contains 16S-23S intergenic spacer region". The record is from RNAcentral.
UCCAAGUUACCUUGCGGAGUUUGACCUCCGUUGGGUUUCCCCAAGCAGUCUAUCUAGAGUUCUCAACUUAAUGUUAGUAACUAAAUACAAGGGUUGCGUUCGUUAUAGGACUUAACCAUACACCUCACGGCACGAACUGACGAUGACCAUGCACCACCUGUGUGAUUCAACUAGAUUUCUCUAGUUUAAGUAAUAGCAUUGCUGCUAUUACCUCCCAUGUCAAGCCUUGGUAAGGUUCUUCGCUUCGUAUUGAAUUAAACCACAUGCUCCACCACUUGUGCGGGUUCCCGUCAAUUCCUUUGAAUUUCAACCUUGCGGCCGUACUACUCAGGCGGAACAUUUAAUGUGUUAACUGUGAUACUAGACUUAAUAUCUAAUAUCUAAUGCUCAUCGUUUAGGG